GUAAGAGUCGUUUGUGAGGGGCUGUGAGGCUCAUGGCCCUCCAGGUUGCCAGGCACAGAAGUUAAGACGGACGUCACAGUUGGCAGGGUGGGGCUAGUCAAGUCUGUCAGGGUGGUGGGCGUGCUGGAGGGGCUGAGCGAGGCGUUGGAGAGCUCCGAGGCCGGGCCCGAUGGCGUCCCUGUCUGCAGCGCCGCGUCUGUCGACUUGUCCACGCCCGUGUUUUCCUGCCGUAAGAGGUUGCGCCUGAACUUGGCUCGGGCGUUCUGGAACCAGACCUGCGGGGGACGACAGGGAAGGGCUGGUGAGCGGAAGGCAGGCAGAGCAUCCCCCCGACUGCUUCACUCAGAGCUCUGCUGCCUCUGGGGACGCUGAUCUGUGUUUUGCCAAGAGGAUCCAAAAAGUCAGGUUGGCAAUAUUUUGCUUUUUUGGUUUUUUUGUUUUUGUUUUUGUUUGCAGACAGGGUCUGGCUUGGUCCCCCAGGCUGAAGUGCAGUGACACAAUCUCGACUCACUGCAGCUUCUAACUCCUGGGAUCAAGCGAUCCUCCCGCCUCAGCCUCCUGGGUAGCUGGGGCUAUAGAUAGGUGAGCACCACCGGCCCCGCUAACUUUUUAAGUUAUUUUUUGUAGAGACGGGGUCUUGCAAUGUUGACCAGGCUGGUCUCAAACUCCAGGCUUCAAGUGAUCCCUCCUGCCUCAGCCUCCUAAAGCGUUGGGAUUACAGAUGUGAGCCACUGCACCUGGCCAAUAUUUUGCUCUUAAUAAAAUAAAACAAAAAUUUCACUCUAUCUAAUGGGCUACGGCUGGGCUUCUCUUUCUGAUAGGUGGUUCCAGAGCUGAGCUGUACUCCCGAAUAUCACAGCCACGAGCCACGUAUGGCUGCUGAGCACUUAAAAUGGCAUUAGCCCAAAUUCAACCAGUCUGCAGGUGAAAACACACAACCUAUCUGAAGGCUGAAUAUGAAAAAAAAAGCAGGUAGAAUAUCUCAAUAAUUUUUAUAUUGAUUACAUGUCGAAAUGAUUAAUAGUUUGGCUAUACUGAGUUAAGCAAAAUACAUUAUUAAAAUUAAUUUUACUUUUACUUGUCUCUCUUCAUUUCUUCAAGGAGGCUACUAGGACAUUUAAAACUUAAAAUUAAAUGUGUGCCUCAUGUUGCAUUUCUAUCAGACACACCAAACACACACACCAGACAAAUCUUGAUCCUUUUCCUAAUGGUUCUUUGAGACAUUCCUUUUUUUUUUUUCUUUUUCCUUUUUUGGCAGUUGCCUUUCAGCAGACAAUAAACCCCACAAGUUCUUGUUGGUAAAAUGUUUUAAAUGUUUUGUGGUCAGUAAGUCUGGGAAUGCGAUAAAGAACACAUGAGAAUCAGGCAAUAAUAAUGAGUUACUAAGAGGAAGUGAAAGACACGGAACCUAUCCCCAUCAUCGGUUGGGGGAGCCACCAGGUACCCUGGGCCACUGGGUGUCAGGUCUCAGGGUGGAGGUGGGUGGAGGUAGGCAGCGUGGGAACGGCAGCCAAAUUAAAGUGAGGCCAGGGAAGUUGAAACCCGCAGAGUCUCUCUCCCGACCUGCUGCAUCCCGUAUCGACUUAUGAGGGACGUGCGGCGGGGCGCAGAGCUGGGGCUGAGCUCUGUCUGAAAAGAAUGUCAGUGAGAGAACAUGGGUUUACUUUCAUUUUUCCUUGGGCACAGACACACACGCGUCCACUCCCAUAUCUUUGCACACACGCCUGUAAGCAUUCAGGAAGACACACAGAAAUUCAUCUAAGGACGGGCACAGUGGCUCAAGCCCGUAAUCCCAGCACUUUGGGAGGCCGAGGCAGGUGGAUCACUUGAGGUCAGCAGUUCGAGACCAGCCUGUCCAACAUGGUGAAACCCCAUCUCUACUAAAAAUAUAAAAAAUUAGCUGGGUGUGAUGGUGCGCUCCUGUAACCUCAGCUACUCGGGAGGCUGAGACAGAAGAACUGCUUGAACCCGGGAGGCGGAGGAUACAGUGAGCCAAGAUCCCACCACUGCACUCCAGCCUGGGCCACAGAGCAAGACUCCAUCUCAAAAAAAAAAAAAAAAAAAAAAGAAAAGAAAAAUGAAAUUCAUCUACACAGCCAGCACCUAAGUACCACCACCCAUCUAACAGCACAAACACAGGGACCCGCUGUACCCAGAGGUCCACGAAGUACUUUGGGAGGGGCUUAGGAAAUCCAGGCCACUCUGGGGGGGUUGAACCUUCCAAGGAAAAAGUCCUGAAAGGCAGGGCCCCUUCACUUCCCUUUGCGUGAGGAAAACACCCGCCAGAAGCCUCCCCAUAAAACAAAGGGCCUCAGGGCACUCUGCAGAUUCUGGGGUGUCCAGUUGCGCAUUUCCAGAUGUCCUGCAUCUGCCUGUCUUCCCAGUGUCUCUGGCAGGAGAGGGAGGGCUGACUCCUGGCCCCACGCACCCCUUGGGACCACCCCGGCUGCAGGGGCCUGUGGCCUCAAACCCCCGUUUCUGGUGGCGUAACACAAUUUGGGCUCAAUUAAAAGCAAAUCCACAAGAAUCUUGGAGUAAAGUGGGAGAUCCAGACCCUGUGAAGUGGAGAAACCAAGCUCCCUCCUCAGUGCUGGAUCUUCCCAGGAAGAAGGCACAUUUUCCCUGGCUCUCCGCCCAAAGAAAGCCCAUCACCCCUUCUGGGGGCUGGCAAAUAAGUACAGUGCUUCUCAGACCACCCUUGACAUGCUUUCCCUGGGGUGGGGGGGUCCUUCCCUUUCCCGGCCAGCAGAAAUCUGUAGGGGAGAGACUGUGUCCUGGUGGCCUAAAGAAAAUGGAUGGGGAAGCCCCCAGAGGCCCUCAGAGAGAGGAAGUGACUUCCCCAAAGUCAUGCAGAUUGGGGUGGAGAAGGCCGGAGCCUUGGUGCCGCUGCCUUGCCACUGUCCUGGCCUGUGUGCGUGUGACCCCUGAGCAGCCUGUGCUCUGUGCGUCUGACUCUCAGAGCAGUAGCUGGAGCGGGGAGCCUGGGUCGAGGGUUUGAGGGUGCUUUGCCGGGUGCUCAUUUGCUCAUCCAUCCGGGGCUCCAAGACCUCGGGCAGGGCUGGACCCGGUUAGUUGCCGGCUGUUUGCUAUUUCUCAGGCUGUUGCCCCUAACAGUGGGCUUGUAAACAAUGACACCAUCGUCCACAACUACCUUCUCUGCUUUCCAGAGCUGAGGCACUGGGAAUCUGGUAGAUGAAAAUUCAACAACUUCAUUAAAAGCCCGGCUGCUCUGGGGUUGUGUGGGGUUUGUUCUUCAUGUUGUCAGGGCUUCACUAGAAUUCUCUCCCAGGUAUUUCAAAAAGUCCACUCCUGAGAGUUUGAUGGGAGCAGGGACCCUUUCUAUGCUAUCUUCAUGUCCCCCGGUGCAUGGCAGAGACUGGCAGAGAUUAAGAAUCAGUAAUAUGUAUUCAUAGGAAUGGCUGACAUGUAUGUACCUUUUACUAUGUGCCAGGCUCCAUGCCACCCUCCAGCAUGCACUGCCACAGGUUAUUCCCAUGAAAAGCCAAGUAGGUGGAUUCGACUAUUAUUAUUCCCAUUUUAUAGAUUUAUUUAUUGACUAUUAUUAUUAUUAUUAUUAUUUUUUGAGACAGAGUCUUGCUCUGUCACCCAGGCUGGAGUGCAGUGGCACGAUCUCAGCUCAUUUCAACCUCUGCCUCCCAGGUUCAAGUGAUUCUCUCCUGCCUCAAUCUCCUGAGUGGCUGGGAUUACAGGCACCCGCCACCAUGCCUGGCUAAUUUUUUUGUAUUUUUAGUACAGACGGAGUUUCACCAUGUUGGCCAGGCUGGUCUUGAACUCCUGACCUCAGGUGAUCCGCCCACCUUGGCCUCCCAAAGUUCUGGGAUUAUAGGCAUGAGCCACCGUGCCUGCCCUCACUGUAUAGAUUUAAAAACCAGAGAGGGUCAGAGUGGUAAAACCACUUGCCAAAGGUCACACAGAGGGCAACCUGAGACUGGAAUCCAGGACCACUUGCCCUAAAAGAGUCCAUGCUCUCCCUGCCACAUGGUCCUGAGGGAGGUAGCAAGUCCAUGAAUGAGUGAAUAAAUGGAUGAAGAAACAGAGAAGCAACUAUAGUGCAGUGGAAAGAGCAGCUUCCAGUCCUGGGACUACCACGUGACCUCGGGUUUGUCCCUCACCUCUGGACCGGCCUCAGUUUCUUCACUUGUACAACAAGAGGGUUAGACCACAUCAUACGAUCUCUAUGGCUCUCAGGGUUCUGACAGGCUGGGAUUCUUAGGCAGCUGCAAGCAACAAGGUGCAGUCUGCCCCACCCACCCAUCUUCUGAAACUGACAGGCCUUCUCUUUUCACAUGCCUCAAGUUCUCUGGACUGUGUGUCUGGGACAAGAAGGCGAAGUUCAGACAGAGAAUCAUCAGGACACAACUAACACCAGGCCGGGGUGCCCCAGCCUGGUGCGCGGUAGAUCUCCAAUAAGCCCUGGGUAGAUGAAGAAGCACACGUUGCUUCUUGCCCCUUCCCAGGCACUACCUGACCAUGCAAGUUGUGUUUUGCCUCACAAACCUCCUUCCCCAGAAUUCUUUCAUCAAGAAAGCCAGGAGGGCCAGUGGGAAACCCACUUUGCCCCCAGCAAAUCCCCACCUGGGAUGCUAAGGAAAUCAGCCAAAAGAUGAAAGCUUCAUGCCCAUCAUGGCAUUUUUAAUAACAUCAAACUAAUGGCUGCAUCCAAAGUGUCCACUCAGAUGCGGCAAGUGGGAGUCAUGACACAGCCACUCCACGAUGCCACAGGGGAAAUGUCUUGUGAUGGCUGUUAGGUGAAAAAAAGGAUAAAAAAAAACUAUGCCUUCUGGUAUUGUACCUUCAUAAAGCAAAUAAUAAUGAUGAAUACUAUUCCUCAUGAAGUGCCAGGCAUCUUUUUUUUUGAGAUGAAGUCUCGCUCUGUUGCCCAGGCUGGAGUACAGUAGUGCGAUCUCAGCUCACUGCAACCUCUGCCUCCCGGGUUCAAGCAAUUCUCCUGCCUCAGCCUCCCAAGUAGCUGGGAAUACAAGCAUGUGGCACCAUGCCCGGCUAAUUUUUUAUAUUUUUUAGUAGAGAUGGGUUUCACUGUAUUAGCCAGGAUGGUCUCCACCUCCUGACCUUGUGAUCUGCCCACCUCGGCCUCCCAAAGUGCUGGGAUUACAGGCAGGAGACACCACACCCAGCCAGUGCCAGGCAUUUUAUAAGCAAAGUCCUAAGCACUUUACACAUUAACUCAUUUGGUCCUUAUAAUAACCCUAUGCGGUAGAUGUGAAUAUUAUUGCCAAUUUGCAGGAGUAGAAACUGUGUGCCUCUUACUGCACAAACAGAAUUGAGAUGUGACUUCCAACAGACUGGUUCUAUGCCCUUAACCACUACUUAACCUCUAAAUCACACACUUUAAUUAUUGGAUUCCUGUGCUCUUAGAAGGGUACGGUUUUUUUUGUUUGUUUUGCUGUUGUUGUUUUCUGUUUUUCCUAUUUUUCUAAACUGUUGGUAUGGCAGUUCUAGUAUUUUGUAAACUUUUAAAGAAGUUUUCUUUAAAGAACCAAAAGUAAUAAGCACUGAACUGGAAAUCAGAAACCCUUGGUUCUAGCCCCAGGCCUAGAACCACUUUGCUGUGGUUCUUGGGAAAGUCACUCCACCUCUCUGAGUCUUGAUUUCCUUUCCUUUGAACUGAGAGGUUUAGGCCAAAUUGUCUGUGAAACUCCAUACAGCUUAGGCCAUCUAGGACUAGAUUGGACACUUAUCACCCACCUGGGUGGUAGACAGGCAGGAAAAAGACCACUUUACAGGUAGGGAAAUGGAGGUUCAAAGUAAUGAAGUGACUUGCCCUGAUAUAAACCACACCUCCUCCUCAGGGAAGCCUUCCCUGACUACCUCCUUCAGCAGGUCAGGUCUCUGUGCUCUAAUUGUACCCUUGCAUUUUUCCUACCUAGCACGUCUACCAUUUUAUUUCUUUACAAGAGUUAAAUAAGAAUUAUAUGGCCAAAUAAAAUUUGGGAAAUGUUAGAUUAGACAAAGUUGAGUCUCUUCCAGAUUUCUCAGUGCCUGUAUUAAUGCUAACAUGCUCUGAUCUCCAAGAGAAAGACACAGUCAACCUUGAGCCUUUCCCAAACCUAUUUGAGCUUAGAAUCAUUUAAAAGAAAAACACAGAGAUUAAUCUUGGCACCUUGUCAAUUGUUUAUCCCACACCUUGCUCCACAUGCCCUCUGGGUGGAUGUUCCAGUGGGGUCUUGUUCAAUGUCUUUUUUUUUUUUUUUUGAGACAGAGUCUUGCUCUGUCACCCUGGCUGGAGUACAGUGGUGCAACCUUGGCUCACUGCAACCUCCACCUCCUGGGCUCAAGCGAUCCUCCUCCUGCCUCAGCCUCCCAAGUAGCUGGGAUUACAGGCACAUGCCACCAUGCCCAGCUAAUUUUUGUGUUUUUAGUAGAGACGGGUUUCACCAUGUUGGUGAGGCUGGUCUUGAACUCCUGACCUCAGGUGAUCCACCCGCCUCCGCCUCCCAAAGUGCUGGAAUUACAGGCGUGAGCCACCACGCCCAGCCAGUCUUGUUCAUUGUCUUGUUCCCCACUGAAUCCUCAGUGCCUCCAGCCCUGCCCGGCACAUGGCAGGUCAAUAUAUCUGUCAAACAAGUGAGUGGCCAGAGGAAAGCUAGAGUACUCAACUCCUAAAUUCUCACACAGGUUAGUAAUAACUAACUAGUCACCUGAAAGAUGCUAUUUAUUUAUUUAUUUUGGAGACAGAGUCUUGCUCUGUUGCCCAGGCUGGAGUGCAGUGGCACAAUCUCAGCUCACUGCAACCUCCACCUCCUGGGUUCAAGUGAUUCUCCUGCCUCAGCCUCCCGAGUACCUGGGACUACAGGUGUGCGCCACCAUGCCUGGCUAAUUUUUGUAUUUUUAGUAGGGAACGGGUUUUCACCAUGUUGGCCAGGCUGGUCUCAAAUGCCUGGCCUCAAGUGAUCUGCCCACUUCAGCCUCCCAAAGUACUGGGAUUAUAAGUGUGAGCCACCACACCCAGACUGAAAGAUGGUUUUUAAGCUGUUGGUGGUUAAAAUGUGUUUUCUUCCAAAGUCACACCAGGGAACCCCUAUGGAGACCUUCACCCACCCAAAUCAAUCAGCUCAUCACUCACUUCCCCAAGCUUAGGGCAUCUUAAUAUGCUGCUUCCCUGGCCCUUCCACAGGAAGGAAGGAAAGCAACUCAGAGAGACUUCUAUGUGGUGAGAAAUGGUCUCCAUGCAUUUGUAAGGCUUAAAGUCUUUUUUUUUUUUUUUUUUUUUUUGAGACAGAGUCUCACUCUGUCGCCCAGGCUGGAGUGCAGUGGCGCAAUCUUGGCUCACUGCAAGCUCCGCCUCCCGGGUUCACGCCAUUCUCCUGCCUCAGCCUCCCCAGCAGCUGGGACUACAGGCACAUGCCACCACGCCCGGCUAAUUUUUGUAUUUUUAGUAGAGAUGGGGUUUCUCUGUGUUAGCCAGGAUGGUUUCGAUCUCCUGACCUUGUAAUCCGCCCGCCUCGGCCUGCCUCCCAAAGUGCUGGGAUUACAGGCGUGAGCCACAGUGCCCGGCCAAGGCUUAAAGUCUUAAAGGACCUCCGUCUAAGGGGCCAUUCUGUCUCCUAGUCACCUUGCCCACUGAUAGUGAGUAUUGUAGUUGCCAUGCUGCUGCUGAUGGCAAAUGUGAGCACCUUUUAUGUGACGAGCACUUUACUAGAGGUUUCUGCUUCCCUACCAAGACAUGGCAUCUGUGACCCACACCUUCCCUCCUCUCCCACUGUACUGCUGCACUCUGCAGCCAGAUCCAAGGGAAAAAAGUCAAAAUCCCUUCGUGUGCAAUAUUGGAAAGAGCUUUGGAAAUUUCAGACCAAUCUGAACUCGACUCCUGGCUUCAUCACUUACUAGCUGUGAGACUCAGGGCCAGGGUUCUAGACUCUCAGAAUCUCAGUUUCAUCAUCUGCAAAAUGAAGAUAAUCACAUUUUUAAAAUGUGUGCAAAGAGGGUUGCAGAAUGAACUGUACUGUGUAAAUGACUGCAGGAGACUGAACUGUACUGUGUAAAUGAGUGCAUGAGAUCAGCAUGCCUGGGUCCUGACUCUACACUCUGUAAAUUAUACUGUAUGUCAUCUUAUUUACUCCGUGCAACCACCAGUAAGGUAUCCUUCUCAUCCCCAUUUCAUAGAUAAGGCAUCAGGCUCAGAGAGGAGAAAUUAAAACAUCCAAAUCUCACUGCUGGUAAGUCAGACAGGAUUAAAACCAGUCUGUUACCUUUCAAAGGCAUACUACCAACUGCCUCAAACUGUUCCCAUCCCAUGUCUGCCAGAUUCCCCAUCAGCAUUCAGGGCACCUGGGGGCAAGCCCCACCCUGCCAAUGCCUGGCUCCUGUAUCCAGCAGCAAAUCACCUCAUCUUACUAGGUCUUAAGCUUCUCAUCUGUAAAAUGGGCAGAAAAAUCUUAAGGUAAGGUAGAUACGUGGCUGGAAAGAUAAUGCUUUGUAAACUGCUGCAUCACCAUGUGCAAUAGGAAUAUUUGGGAUUUGUGCAAAUGUGGUCUGGGAAAAAGGGAGAACAGUGCUACACGUAUGCCCCACCCCCAGUAUACAGACCCUAAAUGAAACUCACACCCAGACAGUCAUUGCCAGAUUGGCUCAAAGAAGAAAGAACUAUGUCCAUUGAUCAGGCAGGCCUGGAUUUGGAUCCAGCUCUGCAGGUAACUAUAAAGUGUGAUUUGGGGCAAGUGGAGAUCAUUUGGGCCUCUGCCUUCUCAUCUGGAUGGUGGGGGAAGAGGGAUCAUGCUGCCUGGUACACAGCAUGGUUGGUCCUUCCUCUGGGCUCCCUCAGUAGGUGCCCCAACGGAUCACACCAUGAGGAAACUGUACAUGGGUCUGUGUCUAUACCUAACAGGUGAAUUUCCUCAGGGCCAGGACCAUGGUUUGUUCAUCUCUGUGUCCCCAAGGCCUGGUGCCAAUAUAUGUUUCAUCAGAUGAAAGAAUAAGAGGUAACUCUCCUGGAAAUCUGAUUUGUUCCUAAGUCAGGUGACCAAGCCUUCUGCCUCCCCAAGGCCAACAGAGACUGGCUCCUCACUGGAAAUUCUGAUUCAACUAUGGGUACUUACUCUUCAUUUCAUUUAAUCUGGAUAACUGAGAGAGGUUUGUGCCCUAAUGGUGCCCUUUCUACAGAUGAGAAAUCUAUGGCUCAGAGAGGGUAACUAAUUUGUCCAAGACACACAGCCAGUGAACCCAGCCCAGGUCUUCCUGAACCCGGUUCCAUCCCCAGCUAAAGCAUUAAUUCAUAGAACUGCCCUCCCUCCCCUGACCCCACUCCAUAGAGCAAGCCUGUCUAUGCCCAGGAGGGCUUUGAAUGUGGCCUAACACAAAUUCGUAAACUGUCUUAAAACAUUAUUAUUAUUAUUAUUAUUUUAGCUCAACAACUAUCGUUCGUGUUAGUGUAUUUUAUGUGUAACCCAAAACAAUUCUUCUUCUUCCAAUGUGGCCCAGGGAAGCCAAAAGAUUGGACAUCCCUGCCACAGAGCAACUGGGUUGGGGAAGGACGAAGGGUCCUACUAAGCAGAGAAAAGGCAGCCCAACCCCAAGUCCUCAGUCCGAACUCACCCACGGCUGAAGGGAGGGGACGCCAAAGAGGGUCCUUGACCUAACCCCAAGAAGGCAAACAACGAAGGAAACAGACGAGAGGGACCUGCUACCCCAGCCAGUGUAGUCACGUUCUCCAUCCACCAGGAGCUCAGGCCACUGGGACUCCAAAGCAAAACAGACCAUGAGGGAGGGGCGGGCCCAGAGGGGCGCAUCGGCAUCCCAUUGGCCGACGCUCCCUCCCUCGGCUACGUCACCCAGUCCUCCCUCUCCCGCAGCCCCUCGCCCGCUCCCCGUGGGCAGCGCUGCUCAAGGGGGCGCCUCGGGAGCCUAGGGGCCCCAACUCCCGGCUCCCCCCGCAGCUGCAGCUGCAGUUGCGCCGCGUCACAGCCUCCACCCGCCCCACAGAGGGCAUUUUUUUGUUUGUUUUUUGUUUCUGACAAACUCACAAGAACUUUCUCAGGGCAGCUGCGCAGCCCUCCGUCUCCGUCAUCCCUCUGUGUCACCUCCCAGCCCUCAAUCCCAGAGACCUGGGGCUGGAGGGUGGGUCAGACUGGCCUGGACUCGAAUCCCACCACCUCCCCUCCUGUUGUGAGGCUGUCCGGUUACUUCAUCCCUCGGUUUUCUUCCCUCAAAAUGUGUGUCGCUGGCACUGUAACCACACGUUCUGAAGAAUAAAUUGGUUAAACUUGCUAUCAAGGGAGGCAUUGUCUUGCCUUCUCUUUGUACGAAUGGGGAAACUGAUGUCCACUACCAGAAUAAUUGCUCAUACUAGUGAAUCAUGCCAGCUAAUGAAUCUAGUUAAUGCUGUUAUUGGCUACCAUCCACUGAGCAACGAAGUGUCAGGUCGCACCACAGGCACGUCAUUUCAGUGGCUCCUUGGAUAACCCGGCAGCAUAAUUUAUUGUAUCCAUUUCUUGUAUGAGGAAACAGGCUACAAAAAGUCAAGUGACUUGCCUAAGACCCUAAAAUGAGUAAAAGGAGGAGCUGACCGUUUGAGAUGUGGCCCACGACUCUGCCACAACUUUGGGUCAUGCAGGAGCCUGGGACCUGCUUCUGUGCCUCCAGACUAGGGUUCUUAACAUCUCUAGGGGUGUGAAAAUUUGGUGAAAGUUCUGGAUCUUCUCUAUUAAGAAGUUACUCGCACAUGUAAGUGCAGUUCUGCUGAGUUUCACAGGCACCCAGCCGCUCCCCCACCCCACCAUGUCCUCUGGGCAGUCCCGCCCCCACCUGCCCACCCAGGGAAUCUGCCCACACACAUCCCCACCACCAAACCUUGCUUCCAGGAGAGUCUGGGAGGCAGAAGAUAAAUCUAGAGAGAUGCCUGAAGGAAGAGAGAGGGGGGAGUGAGACAGAGGCAGACAGCAAGAGAAGAGAAACUAGAGUGGGUAAGAAGCAAGAAGCAGGAGCUAAUGAUAGUCACCUUGGGUGUACGUCCUGGGAUGGGGUGGGGCGGCCUCUAGAUUUAUCUGAAAUGUUUGAACCUUUUAUGAUGUGAAUGUGUGUAAAAUGAGUGUCACUUGAAUAAUAAACAGAAACUAAGAAUUGUUUAGAAGAAAGAAAAGAGACCGAGUGUGGAGACAAUGAGGAUGGAGCGAUACGCAAACAGAAAAACAGAGAGGCAAAAACUGAAAAAGAGAAAAGACAAAGUAAGAAAAAAAAGACUGAAAUACAGAUGGGGACAGGCUGGAGAGGUGAAGAAAGAGAAUGAGAAAGAUUAAACACACAGAGAAGCAGACACAGGGUGGAAGGUCCUUCCAAGGCCCACGGCGAGGGGUGCAGGGUUCCACCCCAGUCCCUGGUGGUCGCAGAUGCCCUCACCCCUGGCCCUGGCUGACCUGGAGGACCCGCUUGGUGAGGCCCGUCUUUUGCGCGAGCUGCUUCAAGUCCUUGGCGUCGGGGUUGUGGUUAAUGGCAAAGUAAGACUUCAUGGUCCGAAGCUGGUGGUGCUUGAAGGACGUGCGCAUGCGCUUGGUCUUCUGGCUGCUCGGGUAUGGCUGGUCACGGUCCAGGUGCUCUGCGUCGUUUUCGUUGCAGCUUAGCGCUAGGGAGGAGACACAGAGCCGGUGGGUGAACUUCCUGACCCGCCCCCCAUGCCAAAUCCACACUCGCCCCACCCACUGCCAAACAUUUCAAUCCUUAACCCUGCUGCAUGUCUGCGCCACAAUGAAAGGGGGACAUCAUCCCCAUUUUAUAGAUGGAAACACUGAGGCUCAGAGACAGCGAUCCACCCAGGAUCACACUGCUAAGAACUGCAGCACUGAAUCCCGGCUCUGGGAGAAUCCAAAAAUCAUUCUGAGCCAUUAUGUUACAAUAAGAACAAUAGUAGCAGCAGCAGCAGCAGCAGCAACAACAGCUACGACUUGUUGAUGGCCGAUUGAACUCCAGGUGAUGUGUUAAAGGGCUUUCCAGGCACAUUUUCUUUAGGUACUUAAAACAAUCCUAGGAGCACCAGGUAUUAUUUUUCCCGUUUUUACAGAUGUUGAAACUGAGGCUCAGCAAGGGAAGUCACUUGACUUUGGACACAGCAGGACAGGGUCUCUGGGCCUGCCCUCCUCCUGUUUUCCAAGGCACUCUAAGGAGGAGUGCUUUCUGCCGUCUCCCCCUACCGUGUCUGGGACCGGCACCUAGAAACUGCUGAAACAGAGAUUCAUGUUCAUUUUGCCACACCCAAAAGUACUGAGGGACCCCUGGGCCUUGGGCACUGGGCCAAAGGUUGGAAACUGCAUUUUGCAGUUUAAUCCUCAUCGCUACCCUGUAAGAUGAUUGUUUCUCCGUGAACAAGUGGAGCAAAUUAGGCUCGGGGAAGUUCAGAGAUCUGCGGCAGUCCACAGAGAGCGGCAGAGUGGACGGGGAAGGAAGUCCGAGGCAGAAAUAAACAUGUAGUAGACACCUAUGGUGUGUGUUUGGCUUUACAAAUGUCACUGUACAUCAUUACCUCUCAGAGAGGUGGCUAUGACUAUUCCCAUUUUAGAGAUGUGGAAACUAACGCUAAGGGAAAUGAAGCCACUUGCACACUGCCACACCACCGGUAACCAGCUAGAUUGAUCUUGAUCUGUUGAGCCUAGAUUUAGCACUGGAGUACUCCUUGUUUUCUUCCACUACACCACGAAGGGAGGAGGGAGCCUGUCCCUAACCACAAGGAGCCUCAUGGGGGCCACGCUGCCAAUGCCUGGCUGGCAUUGGGGGUGGGGAAUAUGGGUGAAAACCUGGGCCUCAGAAAAUUGCUCAGCCACCUGGAAGCUGAUGGGGACCUGCAGGACCCCUCCCAAGGUCGCCUCCUCAUGGCACCUCCCGAGCCAUGCCACACUUAAGGUCUUGCCUUGGGGUAAGCCUCAUAAGGGGUGUACAUUCGGUCCGCCUAAAGUGAGAACUGAGAAGGUAUCUUGUGCCCUCAUCACAUACCCGUAACAGAGCUCUAGAUUUAGCAAAUGAAAAUACAGGUUGCCCAGUUAAAUAUAAAUUUCAGAAAAAUAAUAAGUAAUUUUUUAGUAUAAGCAUGUCCUAAAUAUUGCAUGGGACAUACCUAUACUAAAAAUGUAUUUGUUGUUUACCUGAAAUUCAAAUACUACAGGUGACACAGCUAUGCUAAAAAAUUGUCAUUUAUCUAAAAUUCAAAUAUUACACGGGACACUUAUACUACAAAUUUCAAAUUUAUUCGUUAUUUUUCCAAAAUGCAAAUAUUGCCGGGGACACUUACACUAAAAAUGUAUUUGUUACGUACCCAAAAUUCCAAUUUAACUGGGGAUGCUGCAUUUUGCCUGGCCACACUACCUCCAAAGGACUUUUACUCUGCUGGUGACCUCCCCCUUCCCCUGCCCAGAUGGGGAAGAGCCCCUUGCAGAGAGAAUUUGCAAGAUACAAGUCUUGCCCCUGCCUUUGGAGCUGUUAGCUAGGGGCUACACCUCCUAGGGGCCUCUUUCCACCGGCACUCAGGUCCCCUCACCCCCGGGGCUGCAUUCCCACAGAGAGCACGCCCAGAGUGAAGAGCGCGGGUCCGGCAAUUUAAAGGGGAUCAGAGGAUGCCUCUGAACCUGAUCCACCAGAACUGCUUGGAACCCGCUGAGGUGAGCAACCCUUUUCUUUCCCCCAGUCCCCAGCUCCACUGGGGGUGGGGCAGCCUCCCUACGGGGUAUCUUUGGGCCCAUCCCUCCACCGAGCCCCCGCCUGGGCCUGGCUGCUGUUAAUGAGCUCCGUGGGGACCCCGGCGCCCCCAUGGGCCCAAGGGACCUGCCCUGAGUGCCGCCUAGGUGGGGUAGUAGUGCGGGGGAGGGGGACAGAAAGGGCAGAGAAAGGAGAGAAAAAGACAAACACAGAAAGGCAGAAUGGAGGGAGAGAAAGAGAGAGGGGGUAGGGACGGAAGAUGGACAGAGCCAGGAAAAAGAGAGGACAGACAGAGGAAAAGAAAGCGAAGGAGCCAGGAGAACCACAGAGAGACAGCUACAAAGACAGCAAGAAAUAGGGAGAGCGGAGGGGAAAGCGAGUCCCGGAAACAGGCGCAGCUUGUGGCGAGGGUCCGGUGGCCGAGCUGAAUCCCGGGGCUCCGGGAGACCCGGUCCCUGCGGGGGAGGCCUUUUCCGAAGCCGUUAUUGGCGGGGGAGUAGAGAAAAGGGGAAAGAAGGGGAGUGGAGAAAAAGGGAAAGGAGCCGGCCCUAAGUAGCGAGGCCGAGGCCGGCCAGAGGCAAGGGCAGGGGGCGGCGGCGGGGGAGGCAGCCGUGGGGCCCAGGUUUGGCCGGCGCCCCGAACCCCCUCACUCCCGCCCCCAGUGCCCGGGGGCGGGUCGAGAUUCCCCAGGAUCGGAUCCGGGGAGGAGCGAGGGGCCGAGGGGAGGGGGAGGACCCGGGCUUUCUCUCUCCUUUUUUUUUUUUUUCCUCUCAAUUAGGCCGAUUCAAUGGAGCUAAAGAGCUCGUAAAAUCAUGAAUAAUUUACUCGUGAUCUGUUAUUAACCCAUCGGGUUUCGAGCUCUUGUCGCUGGGACUGAACCUGUAAUCAAAUCUGACUUCGCCUCAUUUUACUAAAGACGAGAUUGUAGGUUCAAUUGUCUAAAUAAUGGAUUGGAAUCAAAUCAGUAAUUACGCCGCCAGGCACACACACACAAAAAGCUGGGGCUGGGGGAGGCCGGGCGUCCGGCCGGUCCGCGCGGGACUCCCGCGGCCGCGGCGCGCAAACCCAGGCGCAAAGUGCGCGGCCCGGGCCCCUCGCCCGCUCCUGCCGCCGUUUUCGCACCCCCAGCCCGCUGGCAGCCCCUCCCGGGGUAGGGGGAGGUUUCCGUUCCACCGGGGCCCGGGCCCGAGGGGCUGCGGGAAGAGGCCGCUGCGGCCCCGCCCCGGAAGGACUUUCCGACCCCGCGGCCCGCGGCUCUGCUGUAAGCCCAGCGCCCGGCGCCCCGACGGCGCCCCCUCCCCACUCGGCCCCCAGCUCGCCGCCCUUCAGUAAGGUGCCGCCGCGCCUCGGAGGGACUGUCCCCAGAGCAAGAGGCUUUGCAAGGGGUCGUCGUGGCUGGGCCACAGGAUGUGGGACACUGCCACAAACAAGCUCGUGUCCCCGUGGUCGGAACCCUGCACGCACACGCACACGACCCGCGCCCGCACACCCCGUCCGCGAUCGCACCCUCCAGGGUCCCCGCUUUCCAGUCCUAGCUGCCCCGCGGCCCACACUGCGGCCAUUUCUCUCCUGCCAGUGCGGGAGGGGAGGGAAGGGCGGACGCCAGAUCUAGGAAGACUGGGCUGGGCCCCGAGAGGCCGGGGAGAUGCCCUCUUUCCCCAACCUAGUCCCGGGAGCCCCGAAAGAGCCAGCCGCAUAGCCACCGCCGGCGCACCGAACGCCGUUUCUCUCAGGACUAGGAGCCCCGGCCAAGGUCGGAGAGGAGGGCACGGGAACAAACACGACACACACAGAGACAGAGAUAGAGAGAAAGGACGGAGAGAACGGAAAGGAAAAAAAGAGAGAGGGAGGCCAGAGAGAAAGUGAGAUGGCUGAAUGGAGGGUGUCUCUUGUAGAGGUUAAACAAGGCUUGAAAUUCAGCCUCCAGCCCACCUCGCUGGGGCAAACGGCGGCUGAACAGCAAAAAGCAGAAAUAAAUCUCUGUACCUUCUACUCUCUUUUUGCACAAUCCUAAAACCGGCGCCGAACCUCCGUGCCCAGGAAAACAAUACAGCUCCCCAGCCACCAGGUGCCCUGGAGCCGAGCCCCGCGAGGUGCUUCCGAGUGGAAGUUGACCCACUUGAUAAAUAGAAGCGGCUUGGUGUUGGGGGAGCCGGUCUGAACUCGGUUUUGUCUUUUUUUGGGGGGUGGUAGGAGAGGAGGGAUGGAAGUUCCAGAGAGCUACAUCUGUGGUAGUGCCUUCAGCAAAUCUUAAAUCCGCGCCACCGACCGGCCUACCGCUGCUUCACCAUUUACCAAACUGGGGGCUGCGUUUUCCUCCCAGUUCCGCACACAGGGACACACGCCCCAUGAUCCUCCAAGCGAUUUCGUUGGAGCGAACACCCGCCCCUCAUUUCCCUCUCUAUUCAACUCAGAUUCUUUAAGAUGAAAAUAACUGACUUCUUCCCGCCGUAGCACCCUCUGCACAGUCUUGGGUUUGUUUUUGUUUUUGCUUUUUUCUGCUUGUGCAUUAGACUAAAGGGAAAAGGAAGAAGAACACAAAAUCUCCAAAUCUAAUUCUGUUGCAAACGAAAGAAAGAAAAUAAUUGCACAUAAACUCUAGUUCGGAAGCCCGGAGAGUCAUAAACCUUUCCGGGCCUUGCAGACUUCGGGCAGAUGUUGACGGCUCAUUUGCCGGAACUCAGAACCUCUGCAGCUGUCCUGAGCAGGGAGGGGCGCGGGAGGGGGCAGAGCUUCUCCGGGAAUGGCCUGGGGUUCAAAGAUGCCGGAAAUCCGAACCAAGCCCCCCACCUCACCCCACCCCACCCCACCCCGGCGCGAGGCCAGGCCUGCUCCGGUCUCGUCCCCGCCCGGGGGGCUCGCUUCCGAGGGUCACGGCCCUCACCCCAGCAGGCGCCAGGAAACUCGGAGGAAAAAGUCCGGGAAAACUGAGACCUGUCUUUAAAGGAGGAUCGGGCCGAGCAAAAGGAACCGCAGCCUUUGCUUUCCUGAGUUCCCCAAGCCCGAGUUCCCCAAGCCUGCCGCCCUUGGGACAUUUCACGAGGUCAGGCCGCACUCCAGGCCGAGCUCGGCGCCCCGGGCCACAGCCAGCCCUUUCUCUUGGGACCCUCGCCGCCCUGCCUCGUUCCUUCGCUGCCCCAGUUCCCGGCCCUCAGCCGCGCCAACCCAAAACCUGUUUGGCGUCAGCGCCGCCUUGCUUUCUCCAUCCCUGCCACUUCCUGCCUAGCAAAGUGGGGCAAAGGCCCAAACCAAAAAGCCAUCUCCAAAAAAACAAUUUAUCAGAGACAAGGCCCUGCACCCGGAGCAGCAAGGGACCACUGCACCCUCUCCUCCCGCUCCAGCCGAGGACGCACAGUCUGGAAGCCCAGGGGGCUAAUGUCCCUUCUGCGAGGCCGUCCGGUGCUUAAGGCUCGCUAUUUGCCCAGCACACAGAGAUUCAAUCCAGCUCCCGGCCGUCGAGGCCGCACACUUUCCCCCAACCCUAUGGGGGCGCUUCGUGCGCCGCGCACUCACCAGCGUUGUAGGCCGCCAGAUCCGCACCGGGGCCCGGGCUCUUACGUUUCCUCGGCCGCCCCUUCUGCACAGUGCC
Molecule: long non-coding RNA, 17245 nt
Filed under: Homo sapiens (human)
Lineage: Eukaryota; Metazoa; Chordata; Mammalia; Primates; Hominidae
Description: HSALNT0354799
Source: RNAcentral